UACCUGCUAGGCUUGACGGUCCUCGCGGACC
RNAcentral lists this small RNA (31 nucleotides) under Bombyx mori (domestic silkworm). RNAcentral's name for it is "ovarian small RNA-2964". The record is from RNAcentral. Lineage: Eukaryota; Metazoa; Arthropoda; Insecta; Lepidoptera; Bombycidae.